This 433-nucleotide ribosomal RNA is filed under the name uncultured bacterium. RNAcentral describes it as "partial 16S ribosomal RNA". It matches the Rfam family "Bacterial small subunit ribosomal RNA", at positions 29 to 507 of the family's 1533-position model. The record is from RNAcentral.
AACGAACGCUGGCGGCAUGCCUAACACAUGCCAGUCGAACGAGACCUUCGGGUCUAGUGGCGCACGGGUGCGUAACGCGUGGGAACCUGCCCUUAGGUUCGGAAUAACUCCCCGAAAGGGGUGCUAAUACCGGAUAAUGUCUUCGGACCAAAGAUUUAUCGCCUUUGGAUGGGCCCGCGUUGGAUUAGCUAGUUGGUAGGGUAAAAGCCUACCAAGGCGACGAUCCAUAGCUGGUCUGAGAGGAUGAUCAGCCACACUGGGACUGAGACACGGCCCAGACUCCUACGGGAGGAAGAAGUGGGGAAUAUUGGACAAUGGGCGAAAGCCUGAUCCAGCAAUGCCGCGUGAGUGAUGAAGGCCUUAGGGUUGUAAAGCUCUUUUACCCGGGAUGAUAAUGACAGUACCGGGAGAAUAAGCUCCGGCUAACUCCGUG